GCCGGAGUGGCGGAAUUGGCAGACGCGCGGGACUCAAAAUCCCGUGCCCGCAAGGGCGUGAGGGUUCAAGUCCCUCCUCCGGCA
RNAcentral lists this transfer RNA (84 nucleotides) under Phycisphaerae bacterium. Its description in RNAcentral is "tRNA-Leu". It matches the Rfam family "tRNA". From Rfam's summary of the family: Transfer RNA (tRNA) molecules are approximately 80 nucleotides in length. Their secondary structure includes four short double-helical elements and three loops (D, anti-codon, and T loops). Further hydrogen bonds mediate the characteristic L-shaped molecular structure. tRNAs have two regions of fundamental functional importance: the anti-codon, which is responsible for specific mRNA codon recognition, and the 3' end, to which the tRNAs corresponding amino acid is attached (by aminoacyl-tRNA synthetases). tRNAs cope with the degeneracy of the genetic code in two manners: having more than one tRNA (with a specific anti-codon) for a particular amino acid; and 'wobble' base-pairing, i.e. permitting non-standard base-pairing at the 3rd anti-codon position. RNAcentral also lists the same sequence under 1 other name. The record is from RNAcentral. Lineage: Bacteria; Pseudomonadati; Planctomycetota; Phycisphaerae.